UUUUAGCUUUCGAAGAAGUUAUGAAAACUCACAGAUUGCGAAAAAUACCUCCUUUCGAUUUCCGUCACAUCACGGAAUUUUCACGGAUCGUGUAAGCCUGCUUCCUUUUGAUUUUCGGCACGUCUCGGGACUUCACAUAUUGUGCAACAAAGGGUGCCAAAUAUCUCAAAGCGGCCAAUCAAUGGUUGUAUAUCAUCAAAUUAUAAUCCCCG
This 212-nucleotide long non-coding RNA is filed under the name Glycine max (soybean). Its description in RNAcentral is "long non-coding RNA (GMAX_LNC001277)". Lineage: Eukaryota; Viridiplantae; Streptophyta; Magnoliopsida; Fabales; Fabaceae. The record is from RNAcentral.